CGGGUGCACUGAUCCAGCCGGGCCUUUCCCUCUGUGGAACCCCAUGGCCUUCACUGGCUGUGGUGGGGAAACAGGACUUUUACUUUGAAAAAAUUAGAGUGCUCCAGGCAGGCCUAUGCUCGAAUACAUUAGCAUGGAAUAAUAGAAUAGGACGUGUGGUUCUAUUUUGUUGGUUUCUAGGACCGCCGUAAUGAUUAAUAGGGACAGUCGGGGGCAUCAGUAUUCAAUUGUCAGAGGUGAAAUUCUUGGAUCUAUUGAAGACUAACUACUGCGAAAGCAUUUGCCAAGGAUGUUUUCAUUGAUAAGGAACGAAAGUUAGGGGAUCGAAGACGAUCAGAUACCGUCGUAGUCUUAACUAUAAACUAUGCCGACUAGGGAUCGGACGAUGUUAUUCUUUGACGCGUUCGGCACCUUUCGAGAAAUCAAAGUGCUUGGGCUCCAGGGGGAGUAUGGUCGCAAGGCUGAAACUUAAAGAAAUUGACGGAAGGGCACCACCAGGGGUGGAACCUGCGGCUUAAUUUGACUCAACACGGGGAAACUCACCAGGUCCAGACACAGUGAGGAUUGACAGAUUGAGAGCUCUUUCUUGAUUCUGUGGGUGGUGGUGCAUGGCCGUUCUUAGUUGGUGGAGUGAUUUGUCUGCUUAAUUGCGAUAACGAACGAGACCUUAACCUGCUAAAUAGCCCGUACUGCUUUGGCAGUUCGCCGGCUUCUUAGAGGGACUAUCGGG
Molecule: ribosomal RNA, 730 nt
Filed under: uncultured eukaryote
Lineage: Eukaryota
Description: SSU rRNA
Rfam family: Eukaryotic small subunit ribosomal RNA
Source: RNAcentral